ACUGCGAGUGAAGCGGGAAAAGCUCAAAUUUAAAAUCUGGCAGUCUUUGGCUGUCCGAAUUGUAUUCUGGAGAAGCGUUUUCCGCGCUGGACCGUGUACAAGUCUCUUGGAAUAGAGCGUCAUAGAGGGUGAGAAUCCCGUCUUUGACACGGACUACCAGUGCUUUGUGAUGCGCUCUCGAAGAGUCGAGUUGUUUGGGAAUGCAGCUCAAAAUGGGUGGUGAAUUCCAUCUAAAGCUAAAUAUUGGCGAGAGACCGAUAGCGAACAAGUACCGUGAGGGAAAGAUGAAAAGCACUUUGGAAAGAGAGUUAAACAGUACGUGAAAUUGCUGAAAGGGAAACGCUUGAAGUCAGUCGCGUCAUUCAGAACUCAGCCUGGCUUUUGCUUGGUGUACUUUCUGGUUGACGGGCCAGCAUCAGUUUUGACCGCUGGAAAAAGGCCAUAGGAAUGUGGCACCUUCGGGUGUGUUUAUACCCUGUGGUCAUAUACAGCGGUUGGGACUGAGGACCGCAGCACGCCUUUAUGGGUGGGGUUUUACCCACAUUCGUGCUUAGGAUGCUGGCGUAAUGGCUUUAAACGACCCGUCUUGAAACACGGACCAAGGAGUCUAACAUGCCUGCGAGUGUUUGGGUGGAAAACCCGAGCGCGUAAUGAAAGUGAAAGUUGGGAUCCCUGUCGUGGGGAGCACCGACGCCCGGACCAGACCUUUUGUGACGGAUCCGCGGUAGAGCAUGUAUGUUGGGACCCGAAAGAUGGUGAACUAUGCCUGAAUAGGGUGAAGCCAGAGGAAACUCUGGUGGAGGCUCGUAGCGAUUCUGACGUGCAAAUCGAUCGUCAAAUUUGGGUAUAGGGGCGAAAGA
RNAcentral lists this ribosomal RNA (860 nucleotides) under Panus sp. RNAcentral's name for it is "partial large subunit ribosomal RNA". It matches the Rfam family "Eukaryotic large subunit ribosomal RNA", at positions 86 to 930 of the family's 3401-position model. The record is from RNAcentral. Lineage: Eukaryota; Fungi; Basidiomycota; Agaricomycetes; Polyporales; Panaceae.